RNAcentral lists this small nucleolar RNA (128 nucleotides) under Dasypus novemcinctus (nine-banded armadillo). RNAcentral's name for it is "Small nucleolar RNA SNORA31 (ENSDNOG00000029729.1)". It matches the Rfam family "Small nucleolar RNA SNORA31". From Rfam's summary of the family: ACA31 (SNORA31) belongs to the H/ACA class of snoRNAs which are thought to guide the sites of modification of uridines to pseudouridines. ACA31 is predicted to guide the pseudouridylation of U3713 in 28S rRNA and U218 in 18S rRNA. The record is from RNAcentral. Lineage: Eukaryota; Metazoa; Chordata; Mammalia; Cingulata; Dasypodidae.
AUGCAUCUCUGACAGACCUGGAGCAGUUAAUGUCUGCUGCUAAAGUUCUAUGACAGAUGCAAGAAAAAGAAGGUCCUUGCACUUUCUGACUGGUUAUGGCAGCCAAGAUUGAAUGGGGGAAUACAGGA